Molecule: ribosomal RNA, 868 nt
Filed under: Listeria monocytogenes
Lineage: Bacteria; Bacillati; Bacillota; Bacilli; Caryophanales; Listeriaceae
Description: bacterial LSU rRNA
Rfam family: Bacterial large subunit ribosomal RNA
Source: RNAcentral
AGAUUAAGUUAUUAAGGGCGCACGGUGGAUGCCUUGGCACUAGAAGCCGAUGAAGGACGUUACUAACGACGAUAUGCUUUGGGUAGCUGUAAGUAAGCGUUGAUCCAGAGAUUUCCGAAUGGGGGAACCCAGCAUGAGUUAUGUCAUGUUAUCGACAUGUGAAUUCAUAGCAUGUCAGAAGGCAGACCCGGAGAACUGAAACAUCUUAGUACCCGGAGGAAGAGAAAGAAAAAUCGAUUCCCUGAGUAGCGGCGAGCGAAACGGGAAGAGCCCAAACCAACAAGCUUGCUUGUUGGGGUUGUAGGACACUCUAUACGGAGUUACAAAAGAACAUGUUAGACGAAUCAUCUGGAAAGAUGAAUCAAAGAAGGUAAUAAUCCUGUAGUCGAAAACAUAUUCUCUCUUGAGUGGAUCCUGAGUACGACGGAGCACGUGAAAUUCCGUCGGAAUCUGGGAGGACCAUCUCCUAAGGCUAAAUACUCUCUAGUGACCGAUAGUGAACCAGUACCGUGAGGGAAAGGUGAAAAGUACCCCGGAAGGGGAGUGAAAGAGAACUUGAAACCGUGUGCUUACAAGUAGUCAGAGCCCGUUAAUGGGUGAUGGCGUGCCUUUUGUAGAAUGAACCGGCGAGUUACGAUCUGAUGCAAGGUUAAGCAGCAAAUGUGGAGCCGCAGCGAAAGCGAGUCUGAAUAGGGCGUUGAGUAUUUGGUCGUAGACCCGAAACCAGGUGAUCUACCCUUGGUCAGGUUGAAGUUCAGGUAACACUGAAUGGAGGACCGAACCGACUUACGUUGAAAAGUGAGCGGAUGAACUGAGGGUAGCGGAGAAAUUCCAAUCGAACUUGGAGAUAGCUGGUUCUCUCCGAAAU